AGCGAACGCUGGCGGCGUGCCUAACACAUGCAAGUCGAACGUGAAAAGGGAAACCUGAGUAAAGUGGCGUACGGGUGAGUAACGCGUAGGUAAUCUACCCCAGAAUCUGGAAUAACCUGCCGAAAGGCGGGCUAAUACUGGAUAGAGCGAGGGAACUCGUAAGAGAGUUUUUCGGGAAAGGGAGCCCGCAAGGGCCUUCGUUCUGGGAUGAGCCUGCGUCUCAUUAGCUAGUUGGUAAGGUAACGGCUUACCAAGGCGAUGAUGAGUAGCUGGUCUGAGAGGAUGAUCAGCCACACUGGAACUGAAACACGGUCCAGACUCCUACGGGAGGCAGCAGUGGGGAAUCUUGCGCAAUGGACGAAAGUCUGACGCAGCCACGCCGCGUGAGCGAAGAAGGCCUUCGGGUUGUAAAGCUCUGUCGGAUGGGACGAACAUCUUCAUAGUGAAUAGCUAUGAGGACUGACGGUACCAUCAAAGGAAGCACCGGCUAACUCCGUG
This 498-nucleotide ribosomal RNA is filed under the name uncultured bacterium. Its description in RNAcentral is "partial 16S ribosomal RNA". It matches the Rfam family "Bacterial small subunit ribosomal RNA", at positions 29 to 507 of the family's 1533-position model. The record is from RNAcentral.